RNAcentral lists this ribosomal RNA (690 nucleotides) under Akanthomyces tuberculatus. RNAcentral describes it as "LSU rRNA". It matches the Rfam family "Eukaryotic large subunit ribosomal RNA", at positions 90 to 812 of the family's 3401-position model. The record is from RNAcentral. Lineage: Eukaryota; Fungi; Ascomycota; Sordariomycetes; Hypocreales; Cordycipitaceae.
CGAGUGAAGCGGCAACAGCUCAAAUUUGAAAUCUGGCCCCCGGGCCCGAGUUGUAAUUUGCAGAGGAUGCUCCUGGUGAGGUGCCUUCCGAGUUCCCUGGAACGGGACGCCAUAGAGGGUGAGAGCCCCGUCUGGUCGGACACCGAGCCUCUGUGAAGCUCCUUCGACGAGUCGAGUAGUUUGGGAAUGCUGCUCAAAAUGGGAGGUAUAUGUCUUCUAAAGCUAAAUAUUGGCCAGAGACCGAUAGCGCACAAGUAGAGUGAUCGAAAGAUGAAAAGCACUUUGAAAAGAGGGUUAAAAAGUACGUGAAAUUGUUGAAAGGGAAGCGCCCAUGACCAGACUUGGGCCCGGCGAAUCAUCCGGCGUUCUCGCCGGUGCACUUCGCCGGGCACAGGCCAGCAUCAGCUUGGCGCGGGGGAGAAAGGCUCUGGGAAUGUGGCUCCCUCGGGAGUGUUAUAGCCCACCGCGUAAUACCCUGCGCCGGGCUGAGGUACGCGCACCGCAAGGAUGCUGGCGUAAUGGUCAUCAGCGACCCGUCUUGAAACACGGACCAAGGAGUCGUCUUCGUAUGCGAGUGUUCGGGUGUCAAACCCCUACGCGUAAUGAAAGUGAACGCAGGUGAGAGCUUCGGCGCAUCAUCGACCGAUCCUGAUGUUCUCGGAUGGAUUUGAGUAAGAGCAUACUUGNCAG